UCCUGAUGGCUCAGAUGGUAAAGAAUCUGCCUGCAAUGCAGGAGACCUGGGUUCAAUUCCUGGGUCAGGAA
This 71-nucleotide transfer RNA is filed under the name Capra hircus (goat). It matches the Rfam family "tRNA". Rfam says of the family: Transfer RNA (tRNA) molecules are approximately 80 nucleotides in length. Their secondary structure includes four short double-helical elements and three loops (D, anti-codon, and T loops). Lineage: Eukaryota; Metazoa; Chordata; Mammalia; Artiodactyla; Bovidae. RNAcentral also lists the same sequence under 1 other name. The record is from Rfam by way of RNAcentral.